Molecule: long non-coding RNA, 754 nt
Filed under: Callithrix jacchus (white-tufted-ear marmoset)
Lineage: Eukaryota; Metazoa; Chordata; Mammalia; Primates; Cebidae
Description: lncRNA (ENSCJAG00000083791.1)
Source: RNAcentral
AGGGUUGGAGGAUACGAAUUCUCAGCACUUUCAGCCUGCUCCAUGGAACAGUCAAGCAACUUUGGGGCCAGAGAAAGGACUCAGUAAAGAAAUGCCAGGUUCUGACAGAAGUCUCACAAGUAACAUGAUCAAGAGAGAGGAGGACCUGAUUCUUCAUAAAAUAGGACUACUCUUCAUCCACUUCAUCCAUUUAGUGAUCCUUUCCUGUACUUUUCAGCUCUAUUCUCUGUGGAGAGUUCAAGUGACAGCCUCCAGAUGACGGCUGUCUGACUGCUGUUUGUGCCAGUUUUAUUUCAAAGCGCUUUUCUUUCCAUAUUUCAAAGGUCAGUGUGUUUACUGUGGCCAAAAAGAGCCUGUGUGUAAGAGAAAGAAAUCCAUGUGGCUGAGUGGCAGGAGAACCAGCAGAGGAGUCAGGGAACUGGAUUCGAAUCCUAGCUCAGCUUCUAGGUAAGACAGAGAACUAAAUGAGUUGAUCUCUUCUUCUCCAUUAGCAUUGAAAGGGAAGGAAGGAAAUAUUACUAGUGGCCUUAUUUUAGAUUUAAAAAAAAGUCUUAGAAGUGUGGUUCUCCAAGAAGACAUGUAGGUAUUUCCAGUAAAGAAACACUAUCAAACACUCAGCUGAGAAAAUGUCCACUUCAUCGCCUUGAAAUGGAAAUAUGUCCUCCCUCAGAGAAAGCAGGCUGGAUAUUUUGGCCACCCUUGGAAAUCUUGAGAUUGUUUUCAGUCGAGGAAUUUUAGCGCUGGGAACUAACAG